AUGCACGCUAGCUACAGGCUUAACACAUGCAAGUCGAGGGGAAACGACAUCGAAAGCUUGCUUUUGAUGGGCGUCGACCGGCGCACGGGUGAGUAACGCGUAUCCAACCUGCCCAUCACUUGGGAAUAACCUUGCGAAAGUAAGACUAAUACCCAAUGACAUCCCACGAAGACAUCUGAAUGGGAUUAAAGAUUUAUCGGUGAUGGAUGGGGAUGCGUCUGAUUAGCUUGUUGGCGGGGUAACGGCCCACCAAGGCAACGAUCAGUAGGGGUUCUGAGAGGAAGGUCCCCCACAUUGGAACUGAGACACGGUCCAAACUCCUACGGGAGGCAGCAGUGAGGAAUAUUGGUCAAUGGGCGAGAGCCUGAACCAGCCAAGUAGCGUGCAGGAGGACGGCCCUAUGGGUUGUAAACUGCUUUUAUAAGGGAAUAAAGUGGGUCUCGGGAGACUUUUUGCAUGUACCUUAUGAAUAAGGACCGGCUAAUUCCGUG
This 491-nucleotide ribosomal RNA is filed under the name uncultured bacterium. RNAcentral describes it as "partial 16S ribosomal RNA". It matches the Rfam family "Bacterial small subunit ribosomal RNA", at positions 29 to 507 of the family's 1533-position model. The record is from RNAcentral.